Long non-coding RNA from Carcharodon carcharias (great white shark), 382 nucleotides. RefSeq lists it as uncharacterized. The record is from RefSeq and is a predicted model, not a curated record. The transcript is spliced from 3 exons. NCBI's taxonomy places the organism in Eukaryota, Metazoa, Chordata, Chondrichthyes, Lamniformes, Lamnidae.
AGCAACUCAGAGACAACACCCCUCCUUCCGGAGAGACAGAAGGAGAAGGUAACUCAGCUCCAAAAGCUGGAGGAUCACUGAAACAAAAAUGAGUGAAACAGGGAAGGUGACCUGGCUGUUUUUGAUCCUCUAUCAAUGUGUCUCCAAAGCCACCACCUCUCAGAACUGUCCCAGACUAGCUGAGACGUGCCGAGUGUCAUUUUCCACGCUAAAGUGUCCGACGGCAAGAACCCAGCGGCAAAGCAACGCCUCAUUUACGACUCAAUUAUUGUCAACAAAGGAUCAGCUUACAACCCCUUGACUGGGGUUUUCACUGCCCCGGUGGCCGGCACCUAUCACUUCACUUACUCACUGCUCGGGGGAUCGCAAGCAGAAGAUACUG